Molecule: long non-coding RNA, 2355 nt
Filed under: Rhipicephalus microplus (southern cattle tick)
Lineage: Eukaryota; Metazoa; Arthropoda; Arachnida; Ixodida; Ixodidae
Description: uncharacterized LOC119164586
Source: RNAcentral
GCCUGCUGUGUGCCUAAAACUGGGAUUGAUGUGGCCUAUUACCCCUGAGUGAAGACACAUCCCGACACAAUGCACACUGCUGACAGGAGGAUGAGAGACCUCAGCAAGCACCUCGCAUCUUUUCUUCAUGAUUUGUCAAAUAAGCAAUGCUUUAGAUGAUAUGUAGCUGUAAGUUCUUUGCUCCAGGCAAAGGGGUUUUAAGCAACAAGCUCUACAAGUGUCUCUUUUUUUCCUGAACUGACGAAUUACCGGAUUUACACUGUGAUCAUCUGGCCUCUAUCAUUACUAUGUUUUUGGCCAAUAUUAGAUGUUCAAUGACAGUUUUACUGGAACAUAAGGAAGGACUCUUGAAUACAGUUUAUAUCAGUUAUAGACUUUUGGGUGUGUGAAUGUACAGUAAAUUCCGAUUAUUCAAGUUUUUAAUUCAGACAAAUCUCAGAUUCUCGGUUGUACUGAUUUGAAUAUAAAGUCAAAUGGCCUGAUUGCUCAAAUUUGGUUUAUUUAGAAGUUUUCGCUUAUGCUACUUGAGACUGGUAGUAACUACAGAGCCAAAUUAUGAGAGUGAAAUAGCUAGAAGAAUAAGAAAGGGAUGGAUCACAUUCGGCAAGCAUUCUCAAAUCGUGAAUCUUAACGUGCCAUAAACCUUCAAGAAGAAGGUAUAUAACAGCUGCGUCUUGCCAGUGCUUACCUACAGAGCAGAAACCUAGAUGCUUACAAACAGUGUUCAGCUUAAAUUGAGGAUGACACAGCGAGCGAUGAAAAGGAAGAUAAUAGGUGUAAUCUUUAGAGACAAGAAUAGAGUAGAGUGGAUUAGUGAACGAACCAGGGUUUUAGGAUAUCAUACUUGAAAUCGAGAAGAAAUGGACAUGGGCCGGGCACGUAGCACAUAGGCAGGAUAACUGCUGUUUAUUAAGAAUAACUGACUGGAUUUCCAGAGAAAGCAAGCACAUUAGGGGUAGACAGAAUGUUUGGUUGGCAGAUGAGAUUAAAAAGUUUGCAGGUAUAACGUGGCAACAAAAAUCACAAGACUGGGUUGAGUGGUGGAUCAUGGGAGAGGCUUAUGCACUGCAGUGGGCAUAGUUAGGCUAAUGAUGAUAAUGAUGCUUAGAAAAUGUUUUUUUUUUUUUUUUUCAAAUGAAGUUAUAGAAAUGCUGCUACAAUUUCUCCAAACUGCUCCAAAAAGAGAAAUGCUGCUUAAUGUGCUCCAAAUUGUGAAUUUUGUCAAUAAAUACUCCAGAACUGCCUUAAGAUAGAUCUGGGAAACUGAAAACGGUGUACUUUAAUUGCGCGACCAUCCGGCGAGCCUAAACAACAACUUGCUCUAUACUAGCAGAUUGAGAAUUUUGCAUAUACUAACAUAGAUAUAUAUUUAUCUGACAGACUAUUUUUGUGAAUGUGUGCGAGAUUAGUUCAGCAUCAUAAUGAGUACUAACUACACUAACUGCUGCUGAUCAUGAUGACUGAUGGGUGACUGAUUACAUUUACCACUUUAUCAGCUUUGAGCUCAUUUAUGUCAACAGAAGUGGCGUUUCAAUUGUAUAUUUUACUUCCAAAAUAUUUAAGGCCGACAAUUCUGGUAAAAUAUGAAAAUAACAUAGAGCACAUGUACCGAUUUUAAACUAUUCCUUUAACAAGUUGAAUGUGGCAAUGGCUGCUUUUGUGAUUUGAUGCUCAGCUUUGUUGCUUUUAUAUGAUAUCUAUUACAAGUAUUGGCAUUUCAAAUAUAGAUCACUCAUCCUACUUAGUGUUCAGUGAACAUCCAUCUGCUUGAUUACUUGUUUUGUGUUAUUUCAAGUUCUUAUGCACAUGCAAUAUAUUUGAUAAGUAUUCAUAUUUACUAGAAGUUUAGAUGACGCUUAAACUCUAGGGACGGUUUGGAAUAUUUUGCCAUCUGCUCCGGAAACAUCAAUAGUUAUUCCAUACUAGCAUAGUUUUUCUUCUCCAAAAACACUUAUGGUUGUUCCAGAGCACCACUUUUUCUUCUGUGGAAUCUGCUCCUAAAAUCAAAAUGUUGCUUCCAUCACUGCAAAUGUGUAUACUGUAUCUGUAUUGAACCUAGUUUUCAGACCUAAUAUUCUCCUGGUUUCUGUAUUCUUCAUAUGUUUUUUCUGUUUUUGCCAUGGGCUAACUGGUGCUGAUCUUAAUGUGAUAUUUUAACAUGUUUCAUGUUAAAAUUAACUUUUGAAUUUGCUUUUGUGUUCCUAAAAAAGAAAUCUAUUUUCUUUGUUCUAUGACGUCUGAGCAAAUCUAUGAGUGAAGAGACUUUAGCCAGGCAGAGGUAGUCUGCCUUUAGUUACUUCAACCUACACAAAUUUUCUUUUUGCCUAAAUAAACUGAAUGAACAAAUGAAUGCAA